Molecule: ribosomal RNA, 255 nt
Filed under: uncultured bacterium
Lineage: Bacteria
Description: partial 16S ribosomal RNA
Rfam family: Bacterial small subunit ribosomal RNA
Source: RNAcentral
UACGUAGGAGGCAAGCGUUGUCCGGAAUUACUGGGCGUAAAGCGCGUGUAGGUGGUGGGACAAGUCUGCUGUGAAAGCGCCUGGCUUAACCGGGCGAGGUCGGCGGAAACUGUCCGACUAGAGGACGGUAGAGGGGGGUGGAAUUCCCGGUGUAGUGGUGAAAUGCGUAGAGAUCGGGAGGAACACCUGUGGCGAAGGCGGCCCCCUGGGCCGGCCCUGACACUGAGACGCGAAGGCGUGGGGGAGCGAACGGGG